CUACUUCCCUAUUGACGCCAUGCUAACGUAUGGUUUGACUCCCAUGUUUGACAUCAUGCUGACGUGUGUUUUAAUUUAUGUUUUGACAUAAUGCUGACGAAUGGUUGAAUUUUCAUUUGGAUGCUAUCCUGACGUUUAGUUUAACAAAACCCGUUGUAUUUUGCUGACGUAGGAUUCAACUAACAAAUUCCCACCACAAUAUUCACGUGCGGUUUAAUUUCCUUUUUUAUACCAUGCUGAUUUAAAGUUUAACUGUCCCUAUCAAAACUUUUAUUACGUACAUGUUUGUUCUAGUGAUAUAUGUACCAUGCUUGGAUAUAUUUAAUUUCUGUUUAUGCCACUUGACAUAUUGUAAACAUGAGUAUUGACACUAUGACCCUGUCAGUAUUUUUUACUUUAAUUGUUUCUGAAAAACUACCUAUCUGAUGAUAUGAUAAUAUACAUGAUAUAUAAUCUAAAUGUGCUCUUUUAUAUUGCUCAUAAUGAUGUAUUGUUUUGAAACCUU
Molecule: long non-coding RNA, 505 nt
Filed under: Mytilus galloprovincialis (Mediterranean mussel)
Lineage: Eukaryota; Metazoa; Mollusca; Bivalvia; Mytilida; Mytilidae
Source: RNAcentral